This 28-nucleotide non-coding RNA is filed under the name Mus musculus (house mouse). Lineage: Eukaryota; Metazoa; Chordata; Mammalia; Rodentia; Muridae. The record is from RNAcentral.
UCCUUCAAAGCCUUUGGAAGCUGCCGUG